RNAcentral lists this unclassified non-coding RNA (207 nucleotides) under Hevea brasiliensis (rubber tree). The record is from RNAcentral. Lineage: Eukaryota; Viridiplantae; Streptophyta; Magnoliopsida; Malpighiales; Euphorbiaceae.
UGUAAAUUAGUUGUCUAUGGAAGGCUCUAUACAUCACAAUUAAAAAACCAGCACCAAGCUAUGGUCCUGCCAUAGAAGGGCUAUAUCAGCCAUAGCACAUAAACUGCACUCAAGUAUUGUCCUUGAAUAUAUGGAGUGCGAGUGACCAGGCUUUUCUACAUACCAAACAACUACAGAUGAGUAACUGAACUUCAACAGAAUGUUGAA